This is a non-coding RNA of Paramuricea clavata, 2669 nucleotides long. NCBI's taxonomy places the organism in Eukaryota, Metazoa, Cnidaria, Anthozoa, Malacalcyonacea, Plexauridae. The record is from the annotation of a GenBank genome assembly.
GAAGUUUACUGAGGAAAGUAUACAUUAAAGUUAGUGCAAAACUUCGCUUUUAUGAAACGUUUUCGAAAUAGAAUCGUUAUACCAUGCAGAGCGAAAGGUCAGUAUUAAAUUUUGCUAGUUUUUAAACGUUUUUGAGUUGUUCUUGUUAAGUUAUUGCUGUUUUUAAAACACGUGUCUAUAUUCAUUGUAGUACACGCAUUGAAUUUGAUUCCCAUUCAAGCCGCUUCGUUUCAGCGCUCAGUCGCUUUAUUAUCUCAGUGUUUCUCCUUAAUAUGCUAGCAGUAAUGUUUAAAAAUGCCCCAGCUUUGGUUCAUUUAACUCAUAUUUAGUUUAUCUGCAAUUUCAGGGCGAAAAUUUGAAGAGAAAAUGAACUAAUUUAAGUCGCCGACAUGGUCGAAAUGCCGAAGCACAUGGUAAGCAUAUAACGUCCAUUAAAGACGUUUCCUUGUUUUGUUUCUCGUUUUUAAGCUUCCCCUAUACACUUAGAAUGUCUUCUAGCAUUGCUUUGUAGCCUUAUGAACACUCUGAGUCAAGUUUAGUUACAAUAUUGGUGAAACUUUUGUCCAUACCGAACGAAUUGCGAACUUAUUUUAGGCAUGUUCAAUUUCAAAGGCAGGCGUGGCAUAUCAUUUUCGAACAUUUUAGCUUUUACAAACUGGUCGUUUAUGUACAAAUUGUUCUCUGAGAGGGAAGGCUAAGCUUUUUGAGUUUCUUGAGGUUGUCUAAGUUGAAUUUCAUCCCAUAUUUUUACGAAAUUUAGAGAUGAAAUGUCCUCGUGGUUCAUGCCGUAAAUUUAUGCAUACAUGCACGCAUUCUUUAAAAUUAAAAUAUUGAAUUGAAUAACCGUACGCUGUGGUCAAUAAACGACAUUGAAUAACUCUUAGUUGUUUUGAAACUAAAAAUUAAUUGUCAAAUUACUUUUUAGACUGCUUCAAAGUCGAUCAUUUCAAAGGCAAACAGUACAGAAAGACCUAUGCACAGAUUUGAACAGGCGCUCGCCUAACAAUCGAAGCAAAACGAGAAAGACGAAAAGACGAAGGACAAAUGAGACCAACCACCAGCUCGAUUCCUUCGCGAACCCACAGUAUUUAUUGUCAGAUUUCGCUUGUGCAAAGUUUAGAAGAGAUUGCCACUCAUCCAGAAACUGUAAGUGUAACGAAGGCAUAUAACAACAUACUCGCUACCAACAUACUCGAUACCAAAAAGCUCCAGGUUGAGAGGAAUUCAUACAACUACCUGAAAAAUACGAGAAAAACUUAACAUGAUAGCUUGGCAGUGACGAACCGCUCGAAAGCAGAUACACCCAGUAUCACUGAUCAUCAUUAGAUUUCGUUCAAUCAGCCAAUUGUGAAUGAGAAGACAAUCAGCCUAUAUUGUGAAGACAUGGCAAGCGUCGUUAAAGAUGUUGUAUACAUUUCGUGAUUCUCGUUGUGCGUGUUCGAAAGUAUACGUGGGACGCCACCCUGAAGACGCCCAAAUGCACAAAACAAAUUCGAAUAUGGCACAUUUUCCUUAAUUUCGCAAUUUAUUCAAAUUUUCUACAUUUCUUGGUAUUUGUGAAAAGCUCUUAACGAAAUCGAAAUGUUUGAAAUUCGGAAGUUUCUAUCUGGGAGUUUGUUUAUGUGAAGGAUAUUUGAAAUGAAAUUUUGAAGUUUACAUCACUUUGAUAUUUGGUUUAAACGCUAGGUAAAAUCAUGCCAGAGGAGUGGUCGACCAUUCGUCGAAGUUUGGUGAUACUUCCGCUCGGACUUUCCCGACCUACAGUCGAGUUGCUCUGAUCGAUUUUCGUGAUCAACUAGCACAGGUGCAAGGUCUGGCCAACCUUACAUCAGUGCUUUUUGUUCUUGGCAUGAGAUUGGGACAGCUCGCCUGUAGGCCUGGAAAGAUCAAGCCGAAGUACGACCAAACUUUGAUUUGUGGCCGACUUUUUGUCUGUAUGGCUUUACCCAGCGUUUUCCCGUUAUCACUUUGAUGCAGACUUUGGGAUUUUGGCUUGAAUAUUUUUAAUAUAAACAUUCUUUGAGGUUUAAUCUUUCAAGAAUUUCAUUGUUUUUGACUAGUUAAUGUGUUUCUCGUAGAUACUAUAAUUGUAUUAAAAAUAUUGACCAAAAAAAUUAAAACUGACCAAAACAUCAUUUGAGGUGUCGGAUGGGAGGGUCCAGUGGGCGUCGUAGCGGAUACCAAUGGAUAAAUACGGAUUACUGUGACACUGUGUACUAUUGAAGAUAUUGUGAACAUUUAUGGAUAAUUGUGAACAUUAAUGGAUUACAAUGAACACUUAUGGAUUAUUAUGAACAUUGUGGAUAAAAUGCACCUCGCGAUCGACGGUUACCUACCAAUGUACCUUGACAACGAAAGCUACACGACGGCAACGAGAUGACUGCCUCAAGGUUAGAAGGUUUAGUCUGAUAACAAGCAGUUGUUAGCUUGUUAUCAGGCAGUAGUUAGCCUGCUAUCAGGCAGUAGUUGGCAUGCUAACAGGCAGUAUAUCUGUAGGAUUCAUACCCAGGACUCUAAUUUGCAUGUGAUCGGUGGAGUCUCUGGGUUAACCGGUUUAAAAUUCCUGGCGGUCUGUCGUUAGUAGUACAUCUGCACGCAAGGUUGAUUUUUAUUCAGAUGUUUGCAUGCUAAUAAAAAUUGAGGUACAAUUUUGACCUCAGUUAAUCAGA